AAGCAGAGGGGACGAUGAGGUGCGGAGGCGUUGGCAGUUGACUUUUGCUGAUGGAGCCUCUCUGAAGGGCAAAUUCAAAGUACAGCUGGGUGCUGCAGCACUGGAGUGCGAACUUGUGGCUGUGGUUAUGAAGGAGCCUCGUCAGCUAUGCCUUUAGCCCCUGGUGAAGCAGUGCCAGUCACACUUUGCCAGUCAAACGGAGAGGCAGCAGUAGUAAGACCAGACCAAAUCAAACCAAACCAAGCAAACCACGGGGAAUGGAGGUCAUGUGAGCACACAGCAUAAAGGCAGCUGCCCACAAGCCAGGAAGAGAAGCAUCAUCAGAAACCGACCAUACUGGCUUCCUGAUCUCAGACUUUCAGCCUCCAGAAUGAGAUGGGGGUGUGAAAGGAAAUGAAAUCUUGGGACCCUAAACUCAUUAAGCCAAAGGGAAAAGCUGGGCCGAGAACUGGAUGAUGCAACCUGCUUCCACCUUUUUGCUUCCUAAAUAAGAUGGCUACAAGAUGAAAAGCUAUACAUCUCUGCCAUAUUUUGCCCACAAGGAAAUUCCUAGUGAGCUUCAAGAUCUUUUAAGGUGUUUCUGUUAAAAUUUCACAAUUUCGCCAUUGCAAUGUAAAUUUAUAGCUUAUCCUUACAGGUGCAGUCAUCUCCCUGCCCACCAGACACAAAGGCAUAUCUGAUUGUUCUCCUGCCCCAUUUUGUCUAUGUUAUCUUAUGUAAAAUACAGAUACCCUGCAUUUUUCCUCUGCCCCAUUUGUCUAUAUCACCUUAUAUAAAAAAAUGCAGAGUCACUGAGCCGGACAAAGGCAUGAACGACUAUUUUUCCCUACCCCCGCUCUUACAUGAAAAUUGUGUACUUCUGAAUAUCCUGCCCUUUCCCCUUUAAAUUUGGAGCCCUCAGAAUCAUCUUCAGAGAAAGGCAUAGACCUGUCUCCCGGGCAUACAUCCUUAACUGUGGCAAAUAAACCUCCUAAAAUGAUUGAGACUUGUCUCGUCAUUUUUCUCGAUUGAUAUUGGUCUCACUAUGUUGCUCAAGCUGGUCUCAAACUCCUGGGCUCAAGUGAUCCUCCCACCUCAGCCUUUCAAAGUGCUGUGAUUACAGGUGUGAGCCACUGCACACGGCCAGGAGAUGUUAAUCAAAGGGUUUACAUGCUGUAAAGGCGAUGUAUAAAGAGUUAUAGGGAUCUUUCGUUUGCUUUUCCUCAUAUUUGUUGAGAACUGUGUAGGAAUUUCCCAUGGAUUUGAUAUUUGCCCAUUAACAGACACCAAGAGAAGUAGUCAGAAAACAUUCCCUAAAAUAAAGUGUGAGCCAACUCAGUGGUCUUCUUUGGAAGAGACCUGAGGGGAGGGAAGGUCACGUAGUGAUAAGCAGGGAUGCAGACUAUGGGGUCUGACU
Molecule: long non-coding RNA, 1396 nt
Filed under: Homo sapiens (human)
Lineage: Eukaryota; Metazoa; Chordata; Mammalia; Primates; Hominidae
Description: HSALNT0367848
Source: RNAcentral